GAGUUGGCAGUGGAGAUAAGGGUAUCUUGCUGGAGAUUCUUGCCUCCUGUAGUGGUGGCCUUCCAGAGGGACUGCUGGACUGGUGACUGGUGCAUUUGUCUUCAAGAGAGAAGGGCCAAAAUUCUGCUCGCUGCUGUGUAAAUGCAGAAUUAACAGAAGAUUCCUGUCCCCAAAAUCUUAUAAUUUAGGAGAAGUGUUAUGAACAGUGGAUGUUCAAAAGCUGUAGAUUAUGAUAAUGUGGUGCAAGUGUGGAUUUUUGCUGGCCUUUGUGAGGAGGGAUGCCACAGUCUUGGUGAAUGAUCUUCGCAAAUGGUUACACAGGAAAGCAUCCAGAUGCCUACAUGCAGAGAAAGAGAGGAUCCAAAUAAAAACUAACGUGAGUCAAUCAGCCAAACUACAAACUUUGCUGAUGUACUCCUGGCAGAUCAAACAUGGACAGAGAUUGAAGAAACAAGUAGGUGGUUCAGCUGGGUCACAGAUGAAAGAAGAAAAGUUUCAGGGAGGGCUGAGUUGAAAAAAUGUGAGGACGCAGGGAAAAUUGUGCGUGCUUUUAAAAAGACAAGAGCAGAGGUUGAGCAAGUAGAGAGAAUCUUAGAGCAAUAUAGAAAGAUUAAAGGUCAUAUACUUACCACGGUGAAAGACAUUGGAUGCAUUUGGAUGUUGAAGAGGAAGAAGAAAACUAGGAAUAGGGAACAAACAUGUAUUCAUUGGAUUGAUUGGCCCUUUGCUUAUAAAAACAAAGAAAAACGAACAAGCAAAAAUCCAAAACCAUUCACUUUUGUUUAUUGUGACAUAAACAUUUUGAAACAACUCCAAGAAGACACUUUUUGAAAUUCAGUAAAAGGGAUUUUUAUCCUCAUUUAUGGAAACCUGCGUUACAUUUUACAGAUCAGAAAGUUUCCUUAGUUGGAAAAUCACAUGUAUUGUUUUUCCUCUUACAUCAGCCUGGAAUUGAAAGAUGGAUUUUUUUUUCUGCUAGAAAGAGCAACAUCUGAUAGGCUACAUUAAGAACAAUAACCAUACUUUUAAACUCAUUUCUAUUUUCUUUCCUCAUGUAAACUUCACUAGCCUUAGGUAUAACUGUUAUUCUAUAUUUUCUCCUCUAUUAUAGCUGGAACAUUAUAAAAGAAAUAGUUGGAUAGGAUAAUAGGAUAUUGUCAAAGAUGCUACAAAGAUCAUAUUUUGAGAAAAGAAGAUAAAAAGCUGCAGAGUUUCACACAUUUAUUUUUCAAGUUAUUCAGAGUUAUCUCCUGUUCUACUUGCUACUCUUUUGUGACAUGCCAUUAAGGAGAAUACCAAUAUACUAGAAAGAUACCAGUUCGAGAAAAUUAUUUUUGUACCUAGCAAUUCUCUUGAAUUCAGUAGUAAGAGAUUCAACGGAGGGAAAUCCAAACUGUAUGGUACAUCUCUUCCAGGACUGCACACCUGUCUUCUGCAGCAAUGAGAAGCCAUCAAAAUAUAAUUUAUUAUGAUGCACAGUCUAAAGGAAAGUAGGUCUUGUUUCCCUCUGCUUUCUUCGUUGGUAUUUUAUGUUUUGUAUAAGUGACUGUUAACAUCUUCUUAAA
Long non-coding RNA from Lagopus muta (rock ptarmigan), 1565 nucleotides. RefSeq lists it as uncharacterized. NCBI's taxonomy places the organism in Eukaryota, Metazoa, Chordata, Aves, Galliformes, Phasianidae. The record is from RefSeq and is a predicted model, not a curated record. The transcript is spliced from 6 exons.